This 435-nucleotide ribosomal RNA is filed under the name fungal endophyte. RNAcentral's name for it is "eukaryotic LSU rRNA". The stretch from base 137 to 290 matches the Rfam family "5.8S ribosomal RNA". The record is from RNAcentral. Lineage: Eukaryota; Fungi.
CAGAGUUCAUGCCCUGCUAUAGGGUAGAUCUCCCACCCUUGUGUAUUAUAACCAAACGUUGCCUCCGGGGCUCCGGCCCCGGAUGGACCCCUAAACUCUGUGUGUUAGUGUCGUCUGAGUACUAUACAAUCGUUAAAACUUUCAACAACGGAUCUCUUGGUUCUGGCAUCGAUGAAGAACGCAGCGAAAUGCGAUAAGUAAUGUGAAUUGCAGAAUUCAGUGAAUCAUCGAAUCUUUGAACGCACAUUGCGCCCCUUGGUAUUCCGAGGGGCAUGCCUGUUCGAGCGUCAUUAUACCCCAUCUAGCCCUGCUAGGGACUGGGCUUCGCGGUUCCGCGGGCCUUAAAAUCAGUGGCGGUGCUCUCAAGCUCUACGCGUAGUAAUUCUUCUCGCUCUAGGGUCUUGGGGGACACCUGCCAGAACCUUACUUCUAGGU